UGCUUUAGCUGCUGGUCAUGUGGGUUGUAAGUUGGGAAAGUUGGUGUGUGGACAGACUGUGAGAGCCAGUUGGCUUAGACGGGCGUGUAGGGCUAGGGCGGCGGAAAGAUGAAAUACAACGACUGCGUCUUGUGGAUUACAUCUUUGCUCAUCUGCUUGUCGAUAAAAUCUACACACGAAGCGAGCGGAACGCGAAAGAGACGGUCACUAAAAUGGCAGACCGACUCAGCACUGCAGGUCCUGUCGGAGAUAUUUUCAGAUAUGAAGAGUUUUAAGGAGCAGGAGUUGAUGCCGUUCAUGAAAGUGCGGGUUUCAGGGACAAAGGCCAACAAGGAAGUGCAACAGCAUAUCAAGAAUCGCCUAAACCCAUUAGGAUGGACAAUAGAAGAGGACCAAUUUACAGAUUCUACUCCUCAAGGGACGAAAGAGUUUACCAAUAUUAUUGCUACAUUUAAUCCCAGUGCUGCAGAGAGACUUGUUCUUGCCUGUCAUUUUGACUCCAAGUAUUAUGAGAAGAUAGAAUUUAUUGGUGCUACAGAUUCAGCUGUUCCAUGUGCUAUAUUAUUGGACUUGGCAAAACAGCUUUCCUGUUUAUUUCACAAGGAACCGGCCAAGGAGUCUGCAAAAAAUUUAACCGUCCAGUUGGUAUUUUUUGAUGGGGAAGAAGCUUUCAAGGAAUGGUCAGCAACAGAUUCCAUCUACGGAGCCCGCCACCUUGCUCAGAUGUGGGCAGACAAACCAGACCCUGUAACUCCCUCACGCAAAUAUAUCAGUACCAUUACUGACUUCGUCCUGUUGGACCUUAUCGAAGCCACAGAUACCAGGUUUGCCAAUAUUGUUGUGGACACAUCAGAUCUGUAUACACAGCUAAAUAAAAUAGAGAAAAGUCUGGAGAAAAAGAACCUUCUUCGACGCCAGCAGCAGAACUCAAAUGGAUACCGACACCAGCUCUUCCCUUCUAUGUCGGCCAGGAAUGCCGGAGUGCAAGACGAUCAUGUGCCUUUCCAAGCAAAAGGUGUUUCCAUUCUCCAUCUAAUCUCGUACCCCUUCCCACAAGUCUGGCACACGAAAAGAGAUAACCUUGCAUCGCUGGACUUCACGCUAAUCGACGACUUCAAUCGCAUAUUCCGUAACUUUGUUGCCAGCUAUCUGCAGUACAAUGGACUUCAGGCCUCAGGAUGUAAAAAUGCCACAGACCGAGCAUCGUCAGAAGCUGAUGCUGAUUUCCAGACUGAUGGCGGUUGGUGGCAGCAAGUUGUCGACUAUCUUGAUGACAUCUAUGACUGAACUAACACCACUCCCCAACUAACACACUCCAUACUGUUCUCAUGCAUGAUGAUAUAGGGACUGCAGGAAUAUCCGGACUGGGAGAGUUCACCUGGAUUGUGUUCACCCAGAUCUUCAUUAAGGACUCCUAUAUCACCUAAUGCUAUAUUGAGGUUAGAACCUCAUUCUGGUUGUCCACAUGUUGCCAUGAUAUUUAAACAUCGGUGAGGUUCACAUGACUUUUGGAUGACCAUGCUGUACUGUUGUCAAUGGGGGUUGAGCUUAGCUGCAUGGUUGGAGGUUGUAGGUGAUGGCAAACUGGUUGCAGCGCGGUAGGCUCUCGGUGAUCAUGAUCUUGUUGCAGUGUGUUAUGAUUAUUGUGAUUCCACUUUGGUAAGGUUCCUGUGAUUGUGACCAGGUUGUGGUAGGCUGUUGGCUCUAACGACCUGGUUGCACUCUGUUAGGCUGUUGGCGAUAACGACCUGGUUGCACUCUGUUAAGCUGUUGGCGAUAACGACCUGGUUGCACUCUGUUAGACUGUUGGCGAUAACGACCUGGUUGCACUCUGUUAGGCUGUUGGCGAUAACGACCUGGUUGCACUGUGAUAGGCUGUUGGUGAUAGCGACCUGGUUGCACUGUAGUAGGCUGUUGACGAUAGCGAUCUGGUUGCACUGUAGUAGGCUGUUGGCAAUAGUGACAAGAGAGCAAAAUGCUAGGCCGAUGGUGAUGGCAACUCGCACUGGGGUAGGUUACUGGUGAUGGCUACACAUUUGCACAAGGGUAGGCUGUUGGUGAUGGCGAUCAUGCUUUACAGUGUUCAUUGAGUGUUGGCAACCAGACUGCAGGAUGGUGAUUGUUACUGACCAGAUUUACAGAGAGAUUCAAAUCUUUGGUUCAGUACUAUGUAUUAGGUGCUACUUUCUUUGAAUACAACAUAUCUGUGUGUCAUGGUUCUGACAUAUUGUUUACCAUCUUAUUUGUGCCUGUAUAUUUGUCGCUUGUGAA
Molecule: unclassified non-coding RNA, 2271 nt
Filed under: Haliotis rubra (blacklip abalone)
Lineage: Eukaryota; Metazoa; Mollusca; Gastropoda; Lepetellida; Haliotidae
Description: glutaminyl-peptide cyclotransferase-like, transcript variant X4
Source: RNAcentral